This 613-nucleotide ribosomal RNA is filed under the name uncultured fungus. Its description in RNAcentral is "eukaryotic LSU rRNA". It matches the Rfam family "Eukaryotic large subunit ribosomal RNA", at positions 38 to 667 of the family's 3401-position model. The record is from RNAcentral. Lineage: Eukaryota; Fungi.
GCAUAUCAAUAAGCGGAGGAAAAGAAACCAACAGGGAUUGCCCUAGUAACGGCGAGUGAAGCGGCAACAGCUCAAAUUUGAAAUCUGGCUCUUUUAGAGUCCAAGUUGUAAUUUGCAGAGGGCGCUUUGGCUUUGGCAGCGGUCCAAGUUCCUUGGAACAGGACGUCACAGAGGGUGAGAAUCCCGUACGUGGUCGCUGGCUAUUGCCGUGUAAAGCCCCUUCGACGAGUCGAGUUGUUUGGGAAUGCAGCUCUAAAUGGGAGGUACAUUUCUUCUAAAGCUAAAUAUUGGCCAGAGACCGAUAGCGCACAAGUAGAGUGAUCGAAAGAUGAAAAGCACUUUGGAAAGAGAGUCAAACAGCACGUGAAAUUGUUGAAAGGGAAGCGCUUGCAGCCAGACUUGCUUACAGUUGCUCAUCCGGGUUUCUACCCGGUGCACUCUUCUGUAGGCAGGCCAGCAUCAGUUUGGGCGGUAGGAUAAAGGUCUCUGUCACGUACCUCCUUUCGGGGAGGCCAUAUAGGGGAGACGACAUACUACCAGCCUGGACUGAGGUCCGCGCAUCUGCUAGGAUGCUGGCGAAUGGCUGUAAGCGGCCCGUCUUGAAACACGGACC